AAUCCUAUUUGGACGUUUCAUCUCUUGCGAUUCAUCACUUGAGUGUUUGGAUCUAGGAAUGUUCCUUGUACGACCACAAAGAAGAAGAAAUUGUGGGAAGAAUGGGAGAGCUUAAGAUUAGAUUUGCAUAUAUUGAGUAAAACUACCGAUGCAUGAGAAACAAAGAUGGAGCAGAUUCGAACAUUCAUACUCUUUAAGACAGUUGGUAGUUCGAUAUUGACCACCAGCUGGAGUGACGGUAACAUGUUCAAUAACUCCCCAUGAAUCUAUAGGAAAGACACGUUGAAUCCGUUGCAUGAGAGAUCGUUUGCUAGUAGCAUGGAUCUUGUUACCCUAAGAAAAACACAGUCAUAUUAGAUAGAUUUCUGACAUUAGUAAUACAAUGAAAGAAAGAAAUGUGUAUUACAAAACUUACCCAUUGAUCUGCUAAGACCAUCUCGAAAGUAUCACCUGCAAAAGGUGUGUUUUGCUUCCAUGAAUGUAAACAUUUCACUUGAAUUCUCCAGUUGUCUUUGAAUGGCCUGAGUUUUGUGAGAGGAACAAAUGUCGUCAUUUUAGACAUUUGCGGUUUUGUAUUUUUUUUUUAUAUAUGAUUUGGAGAAUAGAUGAUGAGAUAUAUAUAGUUGUGAUAGCAAAUGGGAUCCCGUUAGGUUAAUUCGUAAUAAUUAUAUGGUAAAUUUUGGUAGUUAUA
Molecule: long non-coding RNA, 691 nt
Organism: Brassica oleracea var. oleracea
Lineage: Eukaryota; Viridiplantae; Streptophyta; Magnoliopsida; Brassicales; Brassicaceae
Exons: 3
Source: RefSeq, a predicted model, not a curated record